GGGCGUUUCAGCAUUAAACGAUUGAUUUUUAUGUUACUGUAUUCCUGACAUGUCAUGUUGUCAUUUAAGUGGUAUAUUUAACAUUGCCAUAUAAGCCAAGUCAGGAAAAUGGAAGGUAGUUCGUUUCUGUGUGUUUUGCAUUGCCGUUUUUUUUUUAUUGUACUUCAGUGUUUCUAUUGUUUCGUUGUUUUCCUCUUAUAGUUGAUAUGUGUUCCCUCGGUUUUCGUUUGUAACCCUGAUUUGUUUUCUCUCAAUCGAUUAAUGACUUUCCAACAGCGGUAUACUACUCUUGCCUUUAUUUUACAUUGAUAAUCAAAUGCUAUACUCGUGAACUGGAUUGUUGAAAUUGCAUGUAAGCAACACUUGUAAACCGAUUUUAAUCUAGAACUGAAAAUCUGAAUCUUUUUAAUUAAUUGACCAGAUAUUACAGGCUGCGC
RNAcentral lists this long non-coding RNA (437 nucleotides) under Mytilus galloprovincialis (Mediterranean mussel). Lineage: Eukaryota; Metazoa; Mollusca; Bivalvia; Mytilida; Mytilidae. The record is from RNAcentral.